This 763-nucleotide small RNA is filed under the name Arabidopsis thaliana (thale cress). Its description in RNAcentral is "ATSL262880". The record is from RNAcentral. Lineage: Eukaryota; Viridiplantae; Streptophyta; Magnoliopsida; Brassicales; Brassicaceae.
CUAUUUCACUUAUACCCUACUAGCUUAAUCUUGACAUUUAACUCAUUGUUUGAACAAAAUAACUCCGUGAAUUCAAUCAUAAAAUACUACCAUUGAUCUCUUAUUUGACAGAGUAGUUCUAGGUAAUUUGAACCAUAUCAUUAACCAUUCAAAUAGGCUAGGAUACCACUCUAUUCGAUUACCCCAUCCUUAGGAAUUUCUCGUCUAUCUGAUUUCUAUGUUUUAUCGUUAUCGCUUAAUCGUUCUCAUUGCCUGUUUCUUAGUUUUUGCAAUUACUCGACCACACCCAAUGUCUGGCAACAGACUGUGCAGUCGAGUACAGUUGUCUCGUUUCCUGCCUGUUACUCGACCUGUUACUCGACCACAUCCUGCUUUUGGCAUCAGCUAGUUGUGGUAGAGUGAUAUUAGUAAUUUUAUUAUAAUUUAUGUUUUCUGUAUGUUCGCUUAGGACUGUUAGAAACCCCAAAACUGUUAUUGCUUGGCUUUGGCUUGACUUAGUGACUUCUGAUCACAUCUGAUCUGUUUUCAUCACACCCAUUUGGAUUUACAACCUUUAGUACUACAACGACAUGAUAGUGCUUUAGGAUUAAUUGAUCUUAAACCUAUUAUCAAUUUGGCGCCGUUGCCAAUUGGGUGCUUAUUUGCUAUAUUUGAGAUUUCAGAAUUGUUAAGAUCAAGUUCGUUUUUGUUAUAAGAGUACUAACAUUGUGUCAUUUCAGACUUUGUAUUUCAGGUACUUAGCAACCAACUUUAUUCGUCUGUU